RNAcentral lists this ribosomal RNA (275 nucleotides) under uncultured bacterium. RNAcentral describes it as "partial 16S ribosomal RNA". It matches the Rfam family "Bacterial small subunit ribosomal RNA", at positions 338 to 630 of the family's 1533-position model. The record is from RNAcentral.
CCUACGGGUGGCUGCAGUGGGGAAUCUUGCGCAAUGGGCGAAAGCCUGACGCAGCAACGCCGCGUGGGGGAUGAAGGCUCUCGGGUUGUAAACCCCUUUCAGCAGGGACGAAUCAAGACGGUACCUGCAGAAGAAGCCCCGGCUAACUACGUGCCAGCAGCCGCGGUAACACGUAGGGGGCAAGCGUUGUCCGGAUUUAUUGGGCGUAAAGAGCUCGUAGGUGGCUGAGUAAGUCGGAUGUUAAAUCCCCAGGCUCAACCUGGGACACCACCCGA